UGUGAGACUCACCAGGGAGAGUGGCUGGAGGGGACCUGCGUCCCUUCAGACACCUGUGUGGCUGUGAGGUGCAGAUGUACCUGUUGCUGGGCUGCCUGCACCCUGGGGGCUCUGCUAAUGGAAUCAGAGCAGGGAGGGCUUCCAGGCCUGCUCCACACCUUGACACCUCCUCUUACCUCUCCUUCAGGAGGAGCAGGGAGUGAGCCUCAAGACCUGCACCACACACUGCUUCACCCAGUGUUUCCUGGAUGCUGUGCCAUUCCAUCUGGCUGUGAGGAUUUGGGACCUUUUUAUAUUAGAAGGGGCACAUGUCCUCACCACCAUGGCCUAUGUCACCCUAAAAUUGAACAAAAAACGCCUACUGAAGAUGCCCCAGGACCACAUCCAGGAGUUCCUGCAGGUGACUCUCAAGCAAGCCUGGGACCAGGAUGACAACAUCGUUGUCAAGCACCUUCAAGCUUCCAAGAGGGAUCUGGCCAAGCGACAAUGCCUCCUG
This is a long non-coding RNA of Ochotona princeps (American pika), 496 nucleotides long. RefSeq lists it as uncharacterized. Lineage: Eukaryota; Metazoa; Chordata; Mammalia; Lagomorpha; Ochotonidae. The record is from RefSeq and is a predicted model, not a curated record. The transcript is spliced from 3 exons.